Molecule: long non-coding RNA, 338 nt
Filed under: Heterocephalus glaber (naked mole-rat)
Lineage: Eukaryota; Metazoa; Chordata; Mammalia; Rodentia; Bathyergidae
Description: lncRNA (ENSHGLG00000041094.1)
Source: RNAcentral
CGGCGCUGUGGGUUUGGGGUGUGGGGGUUUCAGUUCCUUUGCCUUCAGCUGCCAGGGAGGAAGAGCUGCUCCCUGUGGAACUGGGAGACCGGCCGCAGUGCUGGCCUCCUGUGAGGACCUCGAGCGAGUGACCCCCCGCUCCCAGUGUCCCCCAGUCUCGUCUGUGUGGACAGCUUGGGCUGAGGACGAUUCUGCCUGCGGCAGCUGGAGGUGCAGGUAGCCAUCGAGCACCUGGACCCUGGCAAGUGCAACCAAGGAACUGAGUUUUAUUUGCUUCACUUAAAUUUAGCCACCUGCGGCCACCGUGCAGGCCAGCAUGGCCCCAAGGUUUCUUCCCC